This 377-nucleotide ribosomal RNA is filed under the name uncultured eukaryote. Its description in RNAcentral is "partial 18S ribosomal RNA". It matches the Rfam family "Eukaryotic small subunit ribosomal RNA", at positions 592 to 976 of the family's 1831-position model. The record is from RNAcentral.
CAAUAGCGUAUAUUAAAGUUGUUGCAGUUAAAAAGCUCGUAGUUGGAUUUCGGGGCAGCCUGGCUGGUCCGCCGCAAGGCGAGUACUGGUCAGCCGCCCUUCCUCUCGAAAGCCCCGACUGCUCUUCGUUGCAGUGGUCGGGUGGUUCGGGACGUUUACUUUGAAAAAAUUAGAGUGUUCAAGGCAGGCCUACGCCUGAAUACAUUAGCAUGGAAUAAUGGAAGAGGACCUCGGUCCUAUUUUGUUGGUUUCCAGGGCCGAAGUAAUGAUUAAGAGGGACAGUUGGGGGCAUUCGUAUUUAAUUGUCAGAGGUGAAAUUCUCGGAUUUAUGAAAGACGAACAACUGCGAAAGCAUUUGCCAAGGAUGUUUUCAUUAA